This 301-nucleotide ribosomal RNA is filed under the name uncultured bacterium. Its description in RNAcentral is "partial 16S ribosomal RNA". It matches the Rfam family "Bacterial small subunit ribosomal RNA", at positions 509 to 807 of the family's 1533-position model. The record is from RNAcentral.
CAGCAGCCGCGGUAAUACGUAGGUGGCAAGCGUUGUCCGGAAUUAUUGGGCGUAAAGGGCUCGCAGGCGGUUUCUUAAGUCUGAUGUGAAAGCCCCCGGCUCAACCGGGGAGGGUCAUUGGAAACUGGGAAACUUGAGUGCAGAAGAGGAGAGUGGAAUUCCACGUGUAGCGGUGAGAUGCGUAGAGAUGUGGAGGAACACCAGUGGCGAAGGCGACUCUCUGGUCUGUAACUGACGCUGAGGAGCGAAAGCGUGGGGAGCGAACAGGAUUAGAGACCCCGGUAGUCCCUGUCUCUUAUAC